This is a long non-coding RNA of Clupea harengus (Atlantic herring), 577 nucleotides long. RefSeq lists it as uncharacterized. NCBI's taxonomy places the organism in Eukaryota, Metazoa, Chordata, Actinopteri, Clupeiformes, Clupeidae. The record is from RefSeq and is a predicted model, not a curated record.
GCAUUUUUAUUGUUUAUCUGAAUGGCCGAUGUUUGACACGGUCUGAUCACUGACAUGGCUACGCUAGCUACCGUACUGUGUUUGGUCAGCUCAAGCUAGCACUCUUACAAACACACAUACAUACACAAUCGAUACGCUUUUGUAAAAAAUAGUUCAUUGGUUAGCUUAAAUGACAGUCAUUUAUGCAAGCUGACUAAGUUUGGAAGACUUGAAAACUUCAAGACCUGAAGAUCAAGACCUGAAGACAAAAGAUCCUUUUUGAAGACAAAAGCCUCUGUUGAAGUUACCUGUUAAACUUCAUCAGCAGAUUACACAUCCCCCAUCCAGCUAAGUGUGCUACGUUGUGUUUUGCGUGUUUGUGAAGUGUACUGACGCAACAGAUCCGCAAUGAUGUGGACAAAGACGCGGUCUUGAUCAGCAUUGGAAGUUGUCGUGCCACGUUUCGCAACUUAGACAGUCUGGCAGGUCCAGAGUUCAACUGGCUGACCAAUGAUAAUACACGCGUUGCAGUGAUUGCUGCAGAUCACAAACAAUGUUCCACUUAUAUUUCCACAGGUCUACUGAAUGGAACACAUCA